Molecule: non-coding RNA, 74 nt
Organism: Otolemur garnettii (small-eared galago)
Lineage: Eukaryota; Metazoa; Chordata; Mammalia; Primates; Galagidae
Source: Rfam
GCGCCUGUGGCUCAAAGGAGUAGAGCACCGGCCCCAUGUGCCGGAGGUGGCAGGUUCAAACCCAGCCCUGGCCA